RNAcentral lists this transfer RNA (71 nucleotides) under Podospora comata. Lineage: Eukaryota; Fungi; Ascomycota; Sordariomycetes; Sordariales; Podosporaceae. The record is from RNAcentral.
GAUUUUGCCGGAUGUUCGGCAGCGGGCGUCGUAGCGGGGAGCACAUAACAUCCGGAGCAGACGCGGCCCGA